This is an unclassified non-coding RNA of Aotus nancymaae (Ma's night monkey), 98 nucleotides long. It matches the Rfam family "Y RNA". From Rfam's summary of the family: Y RNAs are components of the Ro ribonucleoprotein particle (Ro RNP), in association with Ro60 and La proteins. The Y RNAs and Ro60 and La proteins are well conserved, but the function of the Ro RNP is not known. The record is from Ensembl. Lineage: Eukaryota; Metazoa; Chordata; Mammalia; Primates; Aotidae.
GGUCUGAGUGCAGUGGUGUUUACAAGUAAUUGAUCACAACCAAUUAUAGAUUUCUUUGUUCCUUCCCCAUUUCCACUGCUUUACUUGAGUUGCCUUAA